CCUACGGGAGGCAGCAGUGGGGGAUAUUGCACAAUGGGGGAAACCCUGAUGCAGCGACGCCGCGUGGGUGAAGAAGUAUUUCGGUAUGUAAAGCCCUAUCAGCAGGGAAGAAAGAAGACGGUACCUGACUAAGAAGCCCCGGCUAACUACGUGCCAGCAGCCGCGGUAAUACGUAGGGGGCGAGCGUUAUCCGGAUUCACUGGGUGUAAAGGGAGCGUAGACGGCCGUGCAAGCCAGGAGUGAAAGCCCGGGGCCCAACCCCGGGACUGCUCUUGGAACUGGGCGGCUGGAGUGCGGGAGGGGCAGGCGGAAUUCCUGGUGUAGCGGUGAAAUGCGUAGAUAUCAGGAGGAACACCGGCGGCGAAGGCGGCCUGCUGGACCGCGACUGACGUUGAGGCUCGAAAGCGUGGGGAGCGAACAGGAUUAGAUACCCUAGUAGUC
RNAcentral lists this ribosomal RNA (441 nucleotides) under uncultured bacterium. RNAcentral's name for it is "partial 16S ribosomal RNA". It matches the Rfam family "Bacterial small subunit ribosomal RNA", at positions 338 to 795 of the family's 1533-position model. The record is from RNAcentral.